CCCGGCGGCGGCUCAGUAACACGUGGAUAACUUGCCCUUGGGUCCGGGAUACCCCUGAGAAAUUGGGGACAAUACCGGAUAGGGCAUCGAUAGCUGGAAUGCACGAUGUCCAAAAGCUGAGGCGCCCAAGGAUAGGUCUGCGGCUGAUUAGGUUGUUGUUGAUGUAAUGGAUCAACAAGCCUGCAAUCGGUACGGGUUGUGAGAGCAAGAGCCCGGAGAUGGGUUCUGAGAAAAGAACCCAGGUCCUACGGGACGCAUCAGGCGCGAAAACUUUACAAUGUGCGAAAGCACGAUAAGGGAACUCUGAGUGCCUCCUAUGGAGGCUGUUCAGGUGUCUAAAAAGCACUUGAAGUAAGGGCUGGGUAAGACCGGUGCCAGCCGCCGCGGUAACACCGGCAGCCCAAGUGGUAGCCACGAUUAUUGGGUCUAAAGCGUCCGUAGCCGGCCAGGGUAAGUUCUUUGGGAAAUUUAACCGCUCAACGGUUAAGCUUUCAGGGAAUACUGCUUGGCUUGGGACCGGGAGAGGUCAGAGGUACUUCAAGGGUAGGGGUGAAAUCCGUUAAUCCUUGAGGGACCACCCAGUAGCGAAGGCGUCUGACCAGAACCGGGUCCGACGGGUGAGGGACGAAGGCUAGGGUCGCGAACCGGGUUAGAUACCCGGGUAGUCCUAGCUGUAAACGAUGCUCGCUAG
RNAcentral lists this ribosomal RNA (691 nucleotides) under uncultured archaeon. Its description in RNAcentral is "bacterial SSU rRNA". It matches the Rfam family "Archaeal small subunit ribosomal RNA", at positions 77 to 770 of the family's 1478-position model. The record is from RNAcentral.